UACGGAGGGUGCGAGCGUUGUUCGGAAUCACUGGGCGUAAAGCGCGCGUAGGCGGUCUGCUAAGUCUGAUGUGAAAGCCCGGGGCUCACCCCCGGAAGUGCAUUGGAAACUGACAGACUGGAGUCCCGGAGAGGAAGGUGGAAUUCCUGGUGUAGCGGUGAAAUGCGUAGAUAUCAGGAGGAACACCGGUGGCGAAGGCGGCCUUCUGGACGGUGACUGACGCUGAGGCGCGAAAGCGUGGGGAGCAAACAGG
Molecule: ribosomal RNA, 253 nt
Filed under: uncultured bacterium
Lineage: Bacteria
Also listed under: 1 other name
Description: partial 16S ribosomal RNA
Rfam family: Bacterial small subunit ribosomal RNA
Source: RNAcentral